Dromaius novaehollandiae (emu) is the source of this 9599-nucleotide long non-coding RNA. RefSeq lists it as uncharacterized. Lineage: Eukaryota; Metazoa; Chordata; Aves; Casuariiformes; Dromaiidae. The transcript has 4 exons. The record is from RefSeq and is a predicted model, not a curated record.
CGCACCCGCCUCCCCUCGCCUCUCCCUGAUUGGGCUGGGCCCGGGCACGUUCUCGCCCCCUGGCUGCCUGAGGCGCGCUGCGCGGGCGCCGCGGGCUCCGGCCCGGCCCGGCCAGACUCUCCCUCCUUCUCGCCCGCGCCGCCUGCCCCGGGCCGGGCCGGGCCGCGCGUGCGGCGGCGGCGGGGGGUCAGCGCGGCCUCCCCGCCGCGGCGGCCCCCGGGGCGGGAGCCGCGGCGCUGGGUGGUGGCGGUCGUUGCCCCGGGACCACUGCCGGGCAGCGCUCCGGGCCGCCGCGGGGAAGUCGGAGCAACUUCGGAGCGGGCAGCGAGCGAGCGGCGCGGCGGCUGCCGCCGAUGGCCGCGGGAGCGGGUUUCCUGCGUAGUGGUACGGCGCGCCUCGGGCACCCGCGGCCGGGAGCGCGUUUGCGGUUCACUGUUGGUUGGUGACAAAUAAUGCUCUCCAGGCCUCUGGUUUUCCCCACCUUCAUAACAAGAAUAAGACUUUCCCAACAGUGUGGGCACGGAUGGCCAACUUUAUGAUCAGCUGAAGUAUUCGAGUGCCUCAGAGAGAAAGCGGUGAUGUGUGCUGUAUAUCCAUUUUCAUGAUCUACUUGCUACUGCUAAUAUAGGAGUUGAAAAUUAUCACUGGAAGAUUAUUUCAGAACUCGAUCAACUAAAGGGUUAAGAUCUUCUCUUGACAUUUGAGAAGGUGGCCUGUUGCUUUUUCUUGGUGACUACUCAUAGGCUGUGAGAUGCAGAUCUUUCUUUUCUAGCAAGAGAAAGCCUGUCUUUUAUUUCCAUGGAGCUGAAUGAACAAAGACCUCUCCACUUCCUGUUGCCAUCAUUUCACCCAACAUUUGAGUCACCAGAUGGCUUCUCCCACAGAAGCACCACACCAUGUUACCAAAACUCAAAAGUAGAGUAUCAGAAGUGAGCAUUUGUUUCCCUGAAGAACUGUCUCCUGUGCCAGCUCUUCAUUCAGCUUUCUGCAUUCUGUUUUAAAAUGAGAAAUACUUUGUAAUCAAAUGUAUGGAGAAGCCGGUGUUCUUCACUGAUACUUCCUCCUUCAUUUUAGGAGGGAUAAAUUCUUUGCUGUGUCAUAUUAGAGCGCCUAUCAGAUAAAGUGUCUGCGUGCUUUGCUAUGCCAGGCUGUCCUGAUGUGUAUGAGAGGUUACAACAGGAAAACUGAAAUAUACUUUCCACUCUGAAAUGAGGAAGAAACCUACCAAACAAUUGGGGAAGCCCCAUAGCAGGUAUUUUCUAGUCCAGGACCCAGGCUUGACUCUGUAGAUAGAUGUCUUGAUGUCAACUCGCAUAAAGCAGCUAAUGCAAAGGAACAAAUGCAGAGUCACCUUGUCUAUAGUGUGUAAAUGCAUCAUCCCAAUCUGUGAUCAAAAUAUAUCUGUGCAUGUGUAAAUCCACAUAAGUGCUGGAUAUGAUGAGCUUUGACCAGAAGGAGAAAUUACUCUGCACAUUUCAUUUUUCACGAAGAAAAUGAAGCUUUAAAGACCUCUAGAGUUACAGGAUAAUGAUCGGGUUUAUGUUAAAUCAUUCCCUCUCCAUGGCUUCUUAAGAAUCCUAAACAGCAAAAGGAACAAAAACAUUCUGCCAUCAAAGAGAUGGGGCAGAACUCUUAUUUCUUAAAGGAAUUCUCUUCUAGUAUGAUGGAAGAGACCAGAGGUGUAAAACUCCAGUUUAUCCAUUCAGCUUCCUUGGCACAGUUUCAGCUUUUCAUACUGCUGAUGGAAUUGGCUUGGCUGAUGGAGAACCGAGAUGACCUACAUGUUUCCAUCAUACAGAUAGAAAUAGGCCUAAUAGAAUUAACUCUUAGCCACUUAAGAGUGAUGUGUUGAAGAGCAGAAAUACAUAGCAUGGGCUUUUUUUCUGUUUCCUCCUGAAUUUCGUUCCCAAACUAAGGAGCAAUCUGUUGUUUUUAUGUUUGCAUAGCGUUCUUUGUCUCCAUCAUUUGUGAUUAUUUGGGAUGUUUUCUGCCAUUCUGAGAUGCGAGCUUAUAAUGCUCACCUGCUCCCUGCUGUGGUAUUACAUAUGACAAGUAUGAUUUCUUGGCAAAAGAGCCAGAAGAGAAAUAGGAUAUGUAUUCUAUUCCACUUUGAUCUGGAGCUCUUCUUAGUGCACCUUAUUCCAAGCUUGUGAUUUAGAAAAUGUGACUUACUAGCUUAAAAUAAUAUUUUCAAAUUUGGAUCAAAUAAAGGUAUAUAGGUUCUGUUAAUAGGGUUUGGGGGGAUAGUAGCAGGGCUGGGGGACAUUUUGGGGAGGGGAGUUGUUUUAUUUUUCCUUUUAGAAAACUGCUGGAGAGAGCCAGACAGCCUGAAAAUGGCUGAAAAAAAGCAACAGCUGAAAUUCUUCAUAGAUCUUAAUGAUAGAUUGCAAGGGCAGCAUUCUGAUAUUUAAAAUGUAGUGAAAUUUAAUGGGGAACAAGUUCCAUAGUAGAGUGAGGACAAAUACUGAUUUUGAUUCUGGUCUUUUAUAAUAGAGUUCAGUUAGAUCCACAUUUAGACAUGCAUUGUAACAACAAGAUUUAAUAACAGCUUUACCCAUUUUUUGUUUCCAUGAAGAAAAGAGCAGGCUUAUAAGUUAAGGAGUGGUGGGCAAGACACUGCAUGUCAGAACAAAGCCAAUUGUAAUGAGCAGAGGUGCACUAACAUUGUGGGUAACACUCUGAUGAGCUGUGCAAGAGUCAUGUUAAUUGUGGCAAGGCAACCACAAACUUCGCCUGACUUCUUUUAAGAAUGUAGGAUUUUUUUGCUGAACACAGUCUGAAUUUUACUGUUUUAGAGGCAACUAGAAAUGCACUUCCUUGUAGGUCCUCCUUAUGUUGAAAUUAAUGGGAUUUAAUGUAGAUGUCUGUAGAAGCAGGAUCCAUCUCUAAGUGAUGGAAAAUAUUGUCAAUAUCAUAGGAUUAUAUGAGGUUGGAAGGUAUCUGGCAUAAGAAACAUCUGUUCCUAAAUCUGGGAAUUUCUUUUUCUUUCUUCUACCUGUACUCAUUAUCCUUUGGACAUUAGAGCUAGCAGCUGUUUCUAGCACAGCUUGGUGACAAAAUAUAUGGGGUACAGGAAUGUGUUUUUCUUUUCUGCGGGUAUGUACAGAACUCUGAUUAGAGAGUAAACACACCUUAAGCUCUUUAAUGCCAUGUCCAUAGGAGUAACUCAACAUUUUAUAACCCUGCAUUCUAACAAAGAAAUAGAGCUAUUGAUUUUUCCUGACUUCUCCUAUCCCUGAUGAUGUGAUAAUGUUAGUUUUUAAACUUAAUUUUAGAUCAUAACAUAUUUUAGCAGGGCUAAAGAUCUGUGGCUUUCACAGAAAUAGUACUCCAGUAGUGCAUGCCCUAGAGACCCCCACUGCCGUAUCUUUCCAGCCAGCUUCUAUAUAAAACUGCUGUUAGGAAAUGCUGCCUCAGCAUUCUUACUUUUUCUUGCUCCACUUUGUUUCUCUAUGUUGGCUGGAAAUCUUCCCAUGUGAAAGAUUACAAAAAUAAGGGGCAUGUGCAAUAGAUCAUAUAUAUAUACAUAUAUAUAUUUUAAUACUUGUGGACAAAAUGAUGUUACAAGUUGUUUGAAAACAACAAAAUCACCAAUGUCUUCCAUUUUGAGAUGUGUAUAGUUCCAUAAGCAUUAGUGCUUUGUAGCAAACUGUAGUGCCAUGUUAGGAUCAGUGCAUGAGCCUAGUAGUAUUUUUACAAUUUCAGAGUGACAAAUUUAUUAAUAAACAGUGAUAAUGUAAUUAACAAUAGAAAGGAUACAGUAAAAAUGUCACAAACAUGGUCUAAAUAUGCAGUAUCCUCCCUUUGGCAAUGGUCAUGCUAUCUUUAGAAAUGGAAUGUAUUCACUUAAUGGGCUUCAUAGAAUCAUAGUUGACUUUUUAGUAAAUCUGUCCAACUGCAAUAGUAAACUAUUGUAUGUAAGCAUCCAGAAUUCUCAUCUCUUUACCAGUGGUGUUUUUUUUCUUUAGUCUUUAGUGAAGGUGAUUUCUUCCACGAGCAGCAUUUUCAGUUUUAUUACUACCCAUCCUAUGAUAUACUCAGAAAAUAUGAAUAUGCUAAAGAGCUAGUGUGCAUUUUGUACACAUCUCUGCUACCUUAAGAUUAUCAUUUACAAACUCUGUUAAUUAAGUCAAAACAACUUUGCAGAUCUGACUAUAUAGUUAUAACAAGUUAAACAUGAGCCUCAUCAUCUUAUAAAUUAAUGGUUGCAAAAUGCUAUCUGCUAAUUUUACGUAGAAAACUUUUAUCCAUUAUUGCAGGAAUUGGAAACCUUUUUUGCUGAAGUCCUAUUGAAUCUCUUAACACCUUUGGUGGAUCCUGCAUUUACACACAUCUUAAUAAUAACAUGGGAGAAUAUAAUAAGGUCAAGGGCUGUUAAAAGUCAAUGUUGCGGACUGUAGCUGUUCAGUAGGCUGUAUUUAGCCUACGGAUCAUAGAUUCCCCACCCCUGUAUUAUUGAGAACUCAAUACCAUGUAUUUUGGAUAACCUCUAGUAUUGCUUUCCACCUCUAAUCUCAAAUUUAAUAGUUUUCAUCUCUCCCUCUGCUUUUUGAGAAGGAAAGUUUAGACCACGGGAAGUCCAAAUGAUUUAGUACUGAAUGGGCAGCUUGGACUGGUCAAAUAAGAGACUGUUAUGAUCCCUAAGAUUUGCAAUGCUCUGUAGAUGGCAUCCUCUUGAUUUCCUAGGAAAAAGUGUUUUAUUCAGUGGCAGUGUUUCUUUUCACCCAUUUCUCUCUUUUAUAAGAACAAAAUUCUCUGUCAGCUUAGAGAGGAUACUGCAUCUUUUUUUCCUGAGACCUGCCUGUAAAUGGCCAUUAGGGGGAGGGAGGGAAUGAGUAGCUUGGUUUUGUAAUUUUAACAUAAGUAUAAAGUAAUUAAGCAGUGUAUACUUGGGUGCAAAACCAGUAAUACUUGCAGAGUUAAUGUAUGUAACAAAAAAAAAUGCAUUUACUACAUCUCCAAGAAAAUUGGGCAGGUGGGCCAUUUACAGCAGAGGUCUGGGGGACCUGUCGUUGGAGUUAGGUUCAGUUCUGAACAAAAGAAGCUGUGUAGCUGUACCAUUGAAUAAAGUAGUUUAGUGCUUGGGAGAAUUAUUUGAAAAAUACCUCUGAAACUGGAAUGCAAAAUAGCACAGUAUGUAGGGGGAAGAAUCCCUGAUGCAAACAAAGCCAUAAGAUGAUUUAAUAAGAAAAAAUAGAACUUUAGUAGCAAUAACUGUUUUGCAUGUGAUAGUAAAUAAAGUAAAUAACUUGCAUUAGCAAGAUUGUACAGUAGAAUAAGUGGGUAAUAACCAAAUAAGUUUGUGGCGUUCUGUGCUGCAGGGAGUUGCACCAUAAGUCUCUUCCUAAGAAGAUGGGUAAAUUUCUCUUAAUGUUCCUCUCAUUGGAGGGAACUUCGCACUUGAAUGCUUUGUUAAUGAACCUGGUAUGAAAAACAUUGAUUAGUUUUGUCACAUGUCUGAAUCAAGGUGUGCUGAGGAAGAGCAGGCAGUUCUUUCUGAAAGUAUGGGUGAAGUUACCCUAUUUUGUUUUUCUUUUUUGUAGUCUAGUACUUGCUGUUUCUCUGAGGUAAAACUGAACCCUUCCAAGUACUGAACUGUGAAGAGAACCUGGUUCUGUUGUUAGAAGGCAUUUUAUUGCAUGAAGUGCUUUUUGUUUUCUUUGUUUAAAAAGACCAAUUUGAGAUGGUGACAGGUCUUUUAAAAAAAAAAAAAAAAGUUUAUUGGAGAACACUUGACACUUGAAACAUUUUUACUUCCCAAACAGAACUGUAGGAUUCUAAAAAUAUUACUUUACAGCAAAAGUAAUUUUGGACUUGCUAAACACCCUGUUUUAGACCAUGGUUGAUUUCUGUCUAAAGUUUUGGAGAGGCAAGUGCUGUGAAGCCUCUAAACAGAAGGGGGUAUUGAUCUACAGCUGUAGCCUCUGUUCGUGUUUUUUUUUGUUUGUUUGUUUUUUAAGUAGUCUGUUUGAUACUCCGUUUUCAGUGUAGAUAUGUAGUCUGUAGAGACAGUAGGGCCCAAUACAUAAUACUCUUGUGAACAGAACUAUUACAUCAGAGAUGUAGCUCUGUCUGGUUGGAUUUCUUCUAGAAAGGUGAAGUAAUUUGAACCAUAACUUAUAUCUGAAGGGAGGCUACUAUUCUAAAAUUACUUUAAGUGAAAUCCUUUGGCUCGUCAUAAGUUGAUAAUGAGACUGUGAGGGCUGUGAGCAUUUUUACAGUCUAAAGUAACCAAGAUAAACAUGAGGAUGACUACAUUAGGUGUUAGCUAAUAUGUAAUAUGCAUAUGAAAAGCUAAUUGAUCUGGAAGGUUGUAAUCAGCUUAAAUUCCAGCUACUGGAUUAUUGAUAAAACUGGAAGCUGGCCAUAGGAAACCUUAAUUUAAUUAUUAGAUAGUACUAGAUAAGUUAUAAAUUCAUUCUGGUCAGUGGUUAUCAAAUAUACUUGCAUAAUAAUGAAAACAUGGUCAUGUUCAUGCUUCAGAAGUAUAAAUUUUGUGACUGAAUAGAAUUCCUCAAGGCUUUAUUCAUUUAGAGAAGGGGAAAAUAAUAAGACUGCAGUAGCCAGGCAAGCUGUCCACAUAUGCAUCCCAGUUCAGAUUUUAUAAUGAUUUGUACUCUGUGGGCUACUAGACUAGAAAUUAUGUUUCACGGCAGCAACAGAAAUCCCAUUGCCUUACAGCUGCUGAACUAUUGUGUGACGUGGCCCCCAAGGCCUUGAUUUCACUGCUUCUAAAACUCAGCAGAAAUGUCAGAGGCUACUAUGUUUCACUGUGGGAUAUCAAAUAUGUAGUGUGCACUAAAGACAUGACUCCUUUAGCAGUACUAAGCUUAGGUGAUGCAUGUAUAUAGUUUCCUUACCCAGUGGUGCUGCUGCAGAAGGUCUAGUCAGUAAUUAUGUUGGGAAUUGCAACUUCUUCUGAAGGUAAUUGUUAAUUCAGGACUUGAAACAAAAAAAAGUCUUGCAAAGACUCCUAAAUAUUGAGAGAAAAAAUUGUAUCAAGCUCCAGGACACUAACACUUUACACAAGGAGUACAUUGACAAGAGCUGGCAGUGUAUUUCUGGGCAGAGAAGAAUAUGGAAGAGCAGAACAGUUUUUGAUGAACAACCAAUCUUUGAAAUAUCUGCUUCCCCACUUCUCUAAGAAACUGUCUGGUCUUCCUUCAAAACCUAAUAAUCCUGCUUGCUGUUCAGGUACAGAGCUGCAUAAUGGCAGUUCAAGUUAGAUACCUUUGGAUUUCUUCUAAUGAAUGAUCCAGCAUAUUGCCCCUACAGCACUUUGACUAGCACACAAAAGCCAGCAAUGGAACCAGGGCAUCUCAUUUAUUAGUGCAGAACACUAACUAUGGAUUUCUGAACUCUUUCAGUCUGCUCUGCACUUUCUACUGACCAAUAGUUUUAGGGAAGGAACGUGUUUCUGUCACUGAGCCUGUGUACCAGGUUAUCGUACGGAUUCCCUAAGACUUUACAACAUCUACUAUUAAAGAUAAAAGGUAACGUAACUUACUACCUAGUGUGUCCUGUGUUAAUCCUGAUUGCUUCUCUUCCAUUCCAAAUGAGCAUGUUUGCAAGUCCAAUAAAAGAAGGCUUCUUUGUGAUGCCUUAGAAGGAAGAACUGUAUGGAGAAACUGAAGGAAAGUAGCACAGGCCCACAAACCAAAUCUUAGAGUUAGUAUUCUAAUUAUGCAUGAUUCAAAAUGUCUAGUGUAAUGUAGUUAUUACCAGUAAAUUGAGAUAUGCAUUUAUACAUAAUGAAGCAAUAGGAAUUAAUAUACCAAUAGCUUGAACUUCCUGCUUUGAUUCUCAAAUUUUGUUUUUAGAGAAUGCACUGCUCCUGUAGAGAAAGGGGCAGAAUGUACAGAUAGGGACAGAAGCAUGGCACCAAAACAGCAAAUCAGGAACCAGGAUCAGCAGAACUCGCCUUUAUAACCUCUUGUCUGGUUCACAUUAGUGCCCUGGGCAUGUAAAAAGCAGGGCAUGAACUAAGCAUGUUUAGGGGCGAGAUGAGGUUUCUCACCUGCUGCAGCUGUAGCAAGGAAAAGGGUGCAGAGUUUCUCACAGGGUGCAGGGGGGAAGCAACUCAUGGAAAAAAACAAACAAAAAAACCACAGUAACAGAAACAACAGACUCAGAUUGAGUGGUUAUUUGCCAGACAGUAGGUAAAAGGCUUGGGUGUGGUGAGAGAAAUUAUUUGGAGAAGACUGAAAUCAAUAAGCACAGUACAUAUAUUUCAGGUGUUGAACAGCUUUUUAAUAGACAGUAUUUUCAGGUAACUCUAGCCACAUAGGCAGCUGUACUGAAGCAUACUGGUAUCAGCCAGCAAUAAUGGCAUCUGCAGGAAUGAACCUGAAAAUACUGGUUAUCUUGUAUAUUUUUUAAGUUCUUUGACAAAAGAGAUUUUUAAAAACAGAAAAUGAGAUUUGAUCACUGGAGGUCUUUAUCUUCUGCAACACAGGUUGCAAUAUAAUAUUUUUUCUUUAUUUCACUUAUUAAAUAAAAGGGAAAUUGGGUGCCAUCUUUCUGUAAACUUUUAGUGUGUUCUCUGUAUUAUUUCCCAAGUCUUUUAGUGGGUGAUGCAGUGAAUUUCUGCUGGCAGUAUGAAAAUAACAUAGAAUCUGUGGCAUAGCCUAUAUCACUAAUGCUUUUCCUAGUCUGAAGUAUUCAAACAAGUAGAAUACUAGUUUGUUUACUGCAGGAUUCCAUAAUUCUAGCUUAGCUUAAUUUUAUAGGUGGGCUUAACUUGUGCAAACAUUCCUCCAUGUACUUGAGGCUCAGCCUUCUUAAAUAGAAAGAGUAAGGGUCUUAGAGGAAGAAAUUAUGUGUCAAGUUAAUUCCCAUUCACACUUCUUAGCCAACCAUCCACAAAGCACCAUUGGGUUUAGAACAGGGACCAUGUUUUCCUCAUGAAUGCCCUUUCUAUCAAUACACAAAAAUUGCCAAAUGAAGAUUGGAAUAUGAAAAGAAGAUAACUAUUUUGUAGUAUCAGAAACUAGAUUAAAUGAAAUCCUUUGAGCCAACUUCAAGCAAAAAGGGAAUUUGUAAAACCAUUUUAGCCCGGUGGUUAACAAUGGCCAUCUAAAACCUGGUUGAUAUUCUACAGAAUGCUUUGCAUGGUCUUAAACCCUGUUAAAUGUAUUUUCUUUCAUGUGAAGAGUAAGUAGUUGUAUCCAUUCUUAAUGCUUAUCCUCUUCAAUACAAAACCAGGGGAAGUAAGGUACUUUAGGACUUCAGUGAAGCUAUCCUCCUUUUGAAAAGUAUGAUGUAGCAGCAGAAGAGAAGUAUUAGACAGUUGUAGCAGAUUCUUAAGAGUUAUGUUAAUACCUAAAAACCAGGUUAGAGAACACUUCUUAUAUGGGGCUUCUGAUGGCAUGCUUACAUGGGUUAGUGGAGGAAAUUACUGGUAUCACUAUGAACUAUGUACUCCCAUUGCACACGUUUUACAUGAUAACAGUACAAGAAUGUCUCCCUGUGAAUUCUAAAGUUUUUCCAAAAGGCAGCUUGCUUUUAUAUCUAUGCAUAUUCGGGGAUUUCGAGAUAAGAUUUUAUUCUUUUGACACCGUAAAGAGGAACUGUUUAAAAAUGAACUUGGAAACUCUGCA